GACGAACGCUGGCGGCGUGCCUAAUACAUGCAAGUAGAACGCACAGUUUAUACCGUAGCUUGCUACACCAUAAACUGUGAGUUGCGAACGGGUGAGUAACGCGUAGGUAACCCGCCUGGUAGCGGGGGAUAACUAUUGGAAACGAUAGCUAAUACCGCAUAAUAUUAAUUAUUGCAUGAUAAUUGAUUGAAAGAUGCAAUCGCAUCACUACCAGAUGGACCUGCGUUGUAUUAGCUAGUAGGUGAGGUAACGGCUCACCUAGGCGACGAUACAUAGCCGACCUGAGAGGGUGAUCGGCCACACUGGGAGUGAGACACGGCCCAGACUCCUACAGGAGGCAGCAGUAGGGAAUCUUCGGCAAUGGACGAAAGUCUGACCGAGCAACGCCGCGUGAGUGAAGAAGGUUUUCGGAUCGUAAAGCUCUGUUGUAAGAGAAGAACGGGUGUGAGAGUGGAAAGUUCACACUGUGACGGUAUCUGACCAGAAAGGGACGGCUAACUACGUG
RNAcentral lists this ribosomal RNA (505 nucleotides) under uncultured bacterium. Its description in RNAcentral is "partial 16S ribosomal RNA". It matches the Rfam family "Bacterial small subunit ribosomal RNA", at positions 28 to 507 of the family's 1533-position model. The record is from RNAcentral.